UUUACUGUAGGUGAAUGCCAAGAAAUAGUUAUAGUUGGACAAAAGCAAGGGCCUGCAGCAAGAUCUACUGCUUUCCAGACAAACCCAGGAUAACAAUGCCCCUUUGUAACUUACUAAAGGAGGAGUUACAUUUGUGGCACUCAAGACAAUGAUAAAUGGUGGAGGUCUACUGAAAUACUGGCUUGCCCUUGACCUCAUUAACCCAGCCAUUCAUCCCAUUAACACCUAGGGUUGCCUGUGUAAGGGAGGUGAUUGAUGGGCAAUCCGCAAUUCUCUCUAAGUCUUUCCCAGCCAGGCAUCUGGGACUGAGCCAAAACCUACCAAAAUGUCUGAAUAUGUCUUCAUUUGGCUGGUGCUUCUGUUGAACUUUGGCCUGCAAUUCUACCUAGUGCUUUUCUGCCUACUGAAGAGCUGGAGUUAUGAUAGGAGGCUUAAGCAGACACUUAAAAUCCCACCCUCUACAGAGAAGCUCCCAGCAACAGUCGCCUGUUCCAUCACUCAACCUCCGGAGGACUUAAAGAAUGCAAAACCCCCGACAUACAGUCGUUACGACAUGGGAGUGGCCCAA
Molecule: long non-coding RNA, 568 nt
Organism: Esox lucius (northern pike)
Lineage: Eukaryota; Metazoa; Chordata; Actinopteri; Esociformes; Esocidae
Exons: 5
Source: RefSeq, a predicted model, not a curated record